This 200-nucleotide long non-coding RNA is filed under the name Eucalyptus grandis. RNAcentral's name for it is "long non-coding RNA (EGRA_LNC002885)". The record is from RNAcentral. Lineage: Eukaryota; Viridiplantae; Streptophyta; Magnoliopsida; Myrtales; Myrtaceae.
GAAAUUUCAUCCCCAACUUCCGAGAAGGAGCUUUUCCUUGCUGUAUAGUAAUUUACCUCAUGACCACUCAAGAGAUAUAAAAAUAUUACAAUUUUUUUACUUCGUUUUCUUGCCCCCAUCAUCUUCUUCGUAACAACCCUGGAACCCACGCAUACGAGAAAACCAAAACUUCAACAAUGAUUCAUGUCUAUUCUUUCUUG